This 11091-nucleotide long non-coding RNA is filed under the name Gossypium barbadense (sea-island cotton). RNAcentral's name for it is "long non-coding RNA (GBAR_LNC001229)". The record is from RNAcentral. Lineage: Eukaryota; Viridiplantae; Streptophyta; Magnoliopsida; Malvales; Malvaceae.
UAAGUAGAAAAAAAUAAUAAAAGAUAAAACCGGCCCAAAAGAGAGUAAAUGGCCUAAAAUAAAUACAAAUAACAAUUGAAAAAAACAAAAGAAAGAAAUGGAAACCUAAUCUAGUCACUGUCAACAGCUGGUACCCAUUAAUUAUCUGUCAUUUCAAAUCUCAAUACCAGCAGUUCAACCGAUAGCAAAUUUCAAAAAAGCUUUCAUUUCUGUUAUCCUUAUCUCUUCAAAUCUUCUAUGGAGACUCUUCAAGCUGGGUGUCUCGGCCAUUUCUCCUCUUGUUCACAUUGAAUAUGGGUGAAAACUGCUCCCUUUAGGUACUUUUCUUCUCCUUUUCUUAAUUCUUCUUUUGCAAGUUCGUGGGCAUAAAUAUUCCCUGAUCUUUGAACAAUUUGGAAGUUGAUUUCUUGGAAAUGUUGUUUUUCACUUUGAAUGUCUCGAAUAAUCGCCCUUAUAACUGAUUUAUCUGUCGCUGCUGAGUUGUAUUUUUUUAUGACCGCUUUUGAAUCUCCUAUGAUAUCUACUGAUUGAAAACCCAUUGAAAUCCCUAACUUUACUGCUUGUAACCCUGCAUGUGGCUCUGCCAUGAACGGAGACGGUAUUGUGGAAUGGAGGACUGUCUUUGAGGCUAAAAACUCACAUCUCCCUCCACACCACCAAACCUGAGGCUUAUUUGGAGUAUUUACCGUCAAAAGCUGCAUCAAAAUAAAUUGCUACUCUCGCAUUUCUUUCUUCCUGUCUCUAUCUUCUACUAUCGUUUGAGGUAAGUGGCUUUUUUUCCACCCCAUCGAUCUCUACUAUAUAACUUUGGAUUCGGUUCGAUAAAUCUCUUCCUGUUAUUAUUUUCCCCUCGUGAACUAACUGGUUUCUUGAACUCCAUAUUGUCUAAACAGCAGAGCAAAAAAGUCGACAUUGUUUGCUGUUACCCAUGGUGAAGACCCAAGUAAGCCAUUUCCACAAAUCUUGAAUAUUAGUAUUAAUGACCCAUGAUAGAUUUAUGUUUUACCAUGUCUCUGUUGUUGUAGGGCAUUGUAUGAAAACAUGGUUGCUAUCUUCUUCUGCAUUUCGACACCGAGGACAGGAAAUAUCUACAGCCACUCUUUUGAAUCUUAGAUUUGUUAAAGUAGGAAUAAAGUUCUAGGAAAUACGUCAUAUAGUGAUAGCAAUUUUUUAUGGGAGAUGUAAAGUAAAAUUUUUUUGUUUCGGCCUGUAUAAAAUAAGCACUAGGAUCCAUAAUAACCUCUUGUAAUAGUUUGUAGGCACUUCUGACUGAAAAUUCGCAAGAAUGUUCUCCUCGCCAAACUUGGAAAUCAUCAUGUUCUUCUUCUGCCGGAGGAAUUUGCAAAAUCUUCUGUGUUGUAUCCGCUUGAAAGGUAUUAACUCUUAGAUCUAUCUUUCAUUUUCUUGUUGAAGCAUCAAUUAAAUCUAAAACUAACUCUACUUCUGCAUUGUUAGAAUUGUCAUUGAUUCUCUCUGUCAACUCUCGGUACCCACCGGUCGUUCCAAACAGAUACAUGAUCUCCCCUACCGACUUGCCAACAUAAGCUAUCUUUCAGUAACCCUUUUGCUGCCCAAACGCUCUUUCAGGUAAGAAAAGGUAAAUUCCCUAACUGUGCAUUAAUAAAGUUUGAAUUUGGGUAGUAUUUGGCUUUUAAGUCCUUUGCUAAUAAAGAAUUUUGAAAAUUAAUAAGGCGCCAACCUUGCUUGGCUAAUAAAGCGAUAUUAAAUUGACCAAGAGUUUGAAACCCCAAACCACCAUUUUUUUUGUGGUACAAAGAUCCUUCCAAGCUUACCAACGAAUGCCCCUUUUGCCACGAUCUUUUUGCCACUAGAAUUUUGCAGUAAUACUCUUAAGAUCAACACAUAAAUAUUUAGGUAGUAAAAAAUAGGCCAUCGUAUACAUCGGAAUAGCUUAAAGAAUGGCCUUAAUAAAAACUUCUUUCCCAUAUUGAAUGGCCUUAAUAAAAACUUCUUUCCCAUAUUGAAUGAGAUGCUGAAUACUCUAGUUUUCAUUUCGUUGCUUAAAUCUAUCCUUUAAGUUUUGAACAAGCUCUUUCUUCUUUCUGCCCACCAUAUUAGGUAAUCCAAGAUAACAUUCUGGAUCAUUUGAGCUUCGUACUCCUAAUGUGCGAGUAACUAAUCCUCUUUCUUCCUCUUGUGUAUUAGUGUUAAAGAAAAUAGUUAACUUCUCAAAAUUGACGCACUAACCUGAAUAGGUUCCAUACUCGCGUAGAAUUGUUUUCAAUAAACAAGCUCUCCUUUCAGUAGCAUCUCCAAGUAAAAUGCAAUCAUCAGCGAAUAACAAUAUAAUACUUGUGGCCCUUUUUACUAGCUUUAACCUUUUUUAAUUGUCCUUCUUGAAUUGCCAAUCUCAUAAGACAAGAUAAGCCUUCUCCAUAGAUCAGAAAUAAAUACGGGCUCAAAGGAUCACCUUGUCGUAAUCCUCUCGUUGGUUGAAAACUUUCCCCAGCUUAACCAUUAAGUACCACUGAAUAAGAAACAGUAGAUACGCACUUCAUAAUACAAGCAAUCUAGCUAGGGUCAAAACCCAUUCUCAUUAUCAUCUCCUAUAUAAAAUUUCAUUCAACUCUAUCGUACGCUUUACUCAUGUCGAGUUUAACUGCUAUCAACCUCUUUUUUCUAAAUUUUUUUCGUUUUAGAGUGUGUAAAAUUUCAUAUGCCAAUGAUACAUUAUCCGAGAUUAACCUUCCUAGCACAAAAGCACUCUGUGUGCCAUCGAUGCAUUUUUCCAAGACUUCUCUAAGUCAAUUAGUAAUAGCCUUUGCCAUUAUUUUAAAAAUGACAUUGCAUAAGCUAAUAGGACAAAAAUAAGUGAGAUAGGUCGAAUUUGCUCUUUUAAGAAUAAGCACAAUAUGAGUAGUAUUAAUUGGACUAAGCUUCGUACCUCCAUUUAGAUGUUGAAGACAGAGAAGUGUGACCUCUUCCCCAAUGAUAUACCAGCAUUUCUGAAAAAAUAAGGUCGGAAACCCAUGUGCUUUUGUAAGCCCCAUUCUAGUAAGCACUUCCCAAACCUCUUCCUUUGUAUAUUGCACCGUGAGUCUUUGAUUAUCCUCUUCAGAUAUACAACGUUCAAUACCCGAUAAGAGAUGUUCAUAAUGUCCCUUUUCCCUAGCUUCAAAUAAAUUUUGGAAAUAAGAUUUAGCAAUUUCUGCCAUUUCUUGUAUAUCCUCCGUUUCCCUUCCCGUCAUAUUCUAUAAUUUUCAAAUACAAUUUUUCCUUUGUCUUUGUGUUGCUUGACUAUGGAAAAAGGUUGUAUUCCUAUCCCAAAAUUUCAGCUAAUUAACUCGAGCUCUUUUCUCCCAAUAUCUUUCAUCAUUCUCAAUCUCAAAAUUCAAUUGCAAUUUUGUAUCAAUCAGCUUUGCUAAAUUAUUAUCACUCAUUUUGGAUUCCAUCACCUCAGACAGCUUUGAGGAUAAAAAUUCUUUUUUCCGUUUUCUAGACUGACAAAUGCGUACAGCCCCUCUCUCUUAGCCUUUUUUUAGACAAUCCAGCUUUUGUAGUAAACCUUCUGAUGUCGUUUCCCAAAUGAGUUUUAUUUUAGCAUCGAAUAACUCCUCCAAGACCCACCAUGUCUCGAAUUUAAAUGUUUUCCAACUCCUAUUGUCUUCUGUUUUCGUGAUAAUUAGAAGAGGACAAUGGUCAGAGAACGAGUGCACCAGAUGUUAAAUGGUAGCUUCAGGGAAUAUAGACAUUCAAUUCUCGUUAGCCACACCUCUGUCCAAAUGCUCUUGGAUAUUUGUUUCAGGAAAAUUUCCUCUCUCCCAAGUAAACCAAUUACCAGAAUAACCCACAUCCGUCAGAUGACAAUCUUCUAGAACAUUUCGAAAUACUUCUAUUCUUCUUUUGUCUCUAGGCAACCCUCCUUUCUUUUCAAAGCUAUACAUAAUUUCAUUAAAAUCUCUACAAACAAUCCAAGGGAAUUCCUUAUUGCUAUAUAGAUUUUUUAAUAGAUUCCAUGAUUCAUCCCUAUCUUGUGUGUAACGGGAACUAUAAAAUCUUGUAUAUCUCUAUUUUUUCCAUCGUCAGUAUCUUCAAUAAGCACGUCAAUGUGCCUUUUUGAAAAAUUUUGAAGUGUGAUGGUAGCGUCACCUCUUCAAGCCAAACAUAAACCUCCUCUAGAUCCAUCGGGGUCCACAUCAAUGCCAUUACCAAGGCUAUAGCUUCUUCGCACUCGUUCUAUUUGAAUUAUGUUUAUCUUUGUCUCCAUGAAGAAGACCAUCUAGGGAUUAUAUUUUUUCAACGUAUGCCAAAGCUUUCGAAUUGUUCGUGGGUUCCCCAAACCACGGACAUUCUAACUUAAAAUUUUUAUUGCGAUCGGUCAGUUUACUUUUUGGCAACCUCCGAUGAUAAAAAAGUAUUGUCCAACAUCCUCUUAUUUCUUGCUGUUACAGUAUUGCCUUCUUCUCUUAUUGUAGGGUAUUCACUUUCCCCCUAGGCAUUUUUUUCCUUCCUCUCCAAUUAGCACCCUUUCCUCCAAAUCAUGUUUCAUUACAGAGUGGGUCUGUUUGGCCAAUAAAUUUUCCCCCCAUUGUGAAAAAGAGGGUAAAUUAACUUCAAAUUGAACCUCAAGACAGGGUCGAUAGAUACUCUAGUUUUUGACUUAUUUCUAUUUCUUCAUGGCCUGUAUUCUAAGUUGUGUUCGCCAUAGAGAUUUCUACAUGUGUCGUCUUCUUCAUCUUCAAUUAACCAAUUACUCUUCAUUACCAAAGGCUUUUUGGGUUGCGCUCGUAAAGAGAAGUUCCAACCCAUCACCACAACUUCCACCUCUAACGUCAUUUUUGCCUCACAAAAAGAAUCACUAUGAUCCAGCUAACCACAAUAGAAACAAAAAAGAGUCAGCCCUUCAUAUUUUAAUAUGACUUAGGAACACUUCCCUGAGAACAUAACCUGCUUUUUCCUCUUUAAUGUGUAAUGGACAUCCAAUUGAACUCGAAUUCUCAUAAAAUUCGUAUUAGCUUUCCCUAGAUUUGAACUAUCAUGGGCCAAAAAUUUUCCUAAAAAUUCACCUAGUUGCAUUGCCAAACUUUCAGAAAAAUACCCUAUUGGAAUAUCAUGGAUCUGUACCCAAAAAGGCGAAAAGAUUAAAGGGAUUUUCAAUGGAUCCUCCCCCCAUUGUAGUAUGUAUAGAACCAAUAAAUGAUUAUUAAACGUUCAUGGAAAGCCCUUCAGAACUCUGUCGAUAUCCAUAGCAUGAAAAAAUUGAAACAAAAAUCAUCUUUCUCCUAGAUUACGGAUUUGAACGCCUCUAACUGGGUGCUAUAAGUUCGCCAUGGUGCUUUUCAUUGCUAGGAAAUGAAUAACACUAGCUAUUAAAAAGCAUCCCACCAGUCGAAAAGUACUUUCUUCCUUUUCCAAACCCGGCUCAAUUUGUGCUUGUAAAACUGUUUCUUCUUCUUCAUCAAACGUUAAUUCGGCAAAUUCAUUUUCCAUUAUUGCAUGCUAGAGAUUAAGCCCCAUUGUGUGCUAUCCUGAAAGAUGAGAAGAGAUUCUAAUAGACUGCUGUAACCAAAAUUUAACUUUGAACAAAAUAACCCAAAAAACUUAAGAACAUGUAAGAGAGGCAGAUGCAUGCGUGUUAGGGUAGCAGAAUUUUUAGUUAGCUCACUUUUAUUUUGGGUUUUUAGUUUUUAUUUAUUUACAUAAUAUGUUAUAAAGUUAUGUUUUGAAGAUUGUAAAAUCGUGAAAAAUGUGUUUUUUUCCUUAUUUUAACAUAUGAAGUGAUUGUUGUCUCUAAAGAUUUGUUUUACAUGAAGGCGCAAAGUAUAUUUUUAGUUUUAUUAACAUGGUUUUUGUGUGUUUUAAUGAGCUUGAAAUCUUGAUGCAAUGAGCUUACUACUGUCAUACAAGGUUUUUGUUAGCUUGAUCAUAUAUUGUAUAAAGUUUAUGUUAUUUUGGAAAAAAGUGUAGAUAAACCUAUGAUGAAUCUGAAGAUGAUUUUUCUUUUUCUUUUUCUUUUUUGAUGUUAUAAUGCGAAAUUGAUUAGUGCAUGUAAUAUUACAUUGCACCUGAUCAAUUGGUUAACAUGUUAUUAUUAUCAUUUUUAUGUGAAAUUAGAUUUUUAUAGGUUAUUUAAUCUUUUAAAGUGGCUAAAGAUCUUUAGAAUUUGAUUUGUGAGAUUUGGAAGUACCAAAUCUUGAAGAGACAACAUGAAAAAGAAAUUCAAACUUAGACAUUAGAUGCUAAUUCAAUUAAAAAUUAGGCAAAGAAAAGAAUAAGAAAGGAGAAACAAAUUGAAAUAACUUUUUCUUGGUGGGCAAUUUUUGGAUCUUAGAAACAUGAAAUUUUAACUAACAUUAGAAAAAGAUUCAUAGGAACAAAAUCAAGAUUGAAAAAAAAUUAGGUAGCGACUGAAAAGAUAGAUGUGAAGAUGAACAAAAGGCGAUGUAUGAUGGAAACUUUUGAAGAAAAACUUCAUCAAACUCCACUAAAGGUUCUAGCCAACCCUCUAAAAAAAGUCUUAGCAAACCGAAGUGUGAAAAACAACAACCUUGAUUCAUGAAAAGAAAUAGAGUUGCAAGUACUUCUAAAAAGAUACAAGAAAAAAAUCUUGCAAAAAGAGAACUCUAGAAGUUAUUAUUCAUAAAAGAAUGAAACUAAAUCAUGUACAUAGAGGGCGUGAAUUGCCUUUUAUAUGUGAAAACUAGGAUAAAUUGAGUCCUAAUCACACUCAAAUUACCUAAAUCUCCAAUAACAGGUAAAAACCCUACAUGAUUAUAACUUAACCUAAUAGGAGGAAAUUUGGCUAGCCUAUAUGUAUAGGCUAUUUGAACCAAAUUUUUAACUAGGAAAUAUCAAAUAACUUAAUAAAUAAAUUGCCUAUAAUGAGCCAAUUAACAAACAUGCCAAAAUAAAACUUAAUAAAAUAAACUAAGUCUUAAAAGAAUAAAACACUCAAAAUGGGUUGUUCUUCAUAGGCUCGACAUUGUGCGCUGAUUUGCACAAUAAUGCACAUAAACUAAGCUUGUUAACAUCCUCCAAAUGGGUUGGUCAUCAUGGAUUGCAUUCUUGAGCCCAAGAAUGGGUUUGUGGCCUUCUGAUUCACCCUCUUUGUUUAAGAUAGAUCAAAUUCUAUCAUUUUGAAACAUUAACUCGUUUUCUUGCAUACUUUUGGUCAUAAGGUCUUGAAUGAGCAUAUUAAGCUCAAACUUAAACUGUUUGGACUUGCAUAUCAUAAUUGAGCCUUGAGAAAAAUGAAGUCUAUCUUCAUCAUGGGCUUGAGAUUAGGCCUUGGAGCUCGUAUCAUUCUCCAUUCCUCAAAACGAUUCAUCCAUGAAUCUACAAUGUCCAAGGGAGAAAGAUUAGUCACAUUAUCUCAUGCUUAGUCCCUUUCUUAUCAAAAAGUCUGCAAAAUCUUAAUUCUUGAACUCACACUUGUGAUCAAUUUUAAUCCUCUUAAUCAUUCCAAUGACAUGGCCUUUAUCAUUCAUAAAGCCUCUACAAAGUUUUCUAAAUUCAUCAGAGGUGCUAGAUUUGUCUCUAAGGAAUCUUUCCCAAGAAAACUUGAAAAUCCAUCUACACAAAUAAGCACAUAACGUUUUUCACUUAUGCCGAAAAAUAGUGGUGUCAUUGUUUGAAUGUGAACCAAUUUUUUAUGCUUUUCCCUGUGUUGCUUGCCUUUUAAAGAGUUACCACACACUUAAAGAAUGGAGCCACUCAGCUUUAGAAUCCCUCUGAUAGAAUCAUAUCGAACUAGCCUUUAAAGUUUAUAAUAGUUUAUAUAGUCAAGCUUCUCGUGCCAUAACUUUGGUCUGAAACAUUAGCAUUAUUGCAUUUGAUAGAUUGAAUCACUCUAUAGUAGUUGUAAAAUGUGUGAGCCCUGUAAUGCCCUCAACUCGACCUGGUUCUCUAGGUCCGAAUCUCAAGUGGUACUACACACAAUACUUAACCAAAUAUCAAAUAGUUAACAAACAUUCCUUGCUUAAAACAUUUUACUUAUUAAUUUAAUUAAGAAACUUGAGCUCUAAGAAUAAGAGACAGUAUUAAAAAAUAAAAUUUUAAUCCAAACUUGUUACAACACAUUACAGUAUAAAGUUUGUGAAUGGCAGAAUCUUAAGGUGUAACGUUAAACUACACUACUUCUCCCUUGUAUGCAUAAUAUUCCAAUUUUCCACUAUUCUGGCGUACUCUUGGAAUUGUCCCUCCUAGCGUAUUCUCAUACCAUACCCAUGAAACAACAACAAACAUUGUAAGUUCAAAAGAACUUAGUGAGCUUUAUCAUAAUAAUACCUUAGCAGAUAGUUUAUAAGAUUGGAAGAACAUCAGUGUGCUAGUUACCCUUCUGAACCACUUACUUCCAUUUUAGGCAGAUACAAUUCUGGCAUACACUUCCACACCAACUAUCAUACUCUUGAUAUACCAGUUCUUUCUUAAUAGUCUAACUGAAGAUCCUUUUAGACAUUUCAUAAAUCGUACGCACUUCUCAAAAGAAUAUACCUUCAGAAUCAAAUUUAUAUAAAUCAUUUCUUAACACACAAACUUAUCCUAGAACAGUUGUUCAUAGAUAUUAAUCACUAGCAGAUACAUACACAUUUGGUGAAUACUUACGCAGAUCUGAAUACCAUCAAACUACUAAUCAAAUCAUACAUUGGUUCAAUACCAUACAAACUCUCACUGAUAAUGUACUACACAGAUAAUUCAGAUGAAUUCCACAUCACUUUAUUUAGGAACCUCAGAUACUCAAGAUAGCGAUAACUCAGAUUCAAUAUACUUUCAGAAGAAGAUAUUAUACAACUCAGACAUAAUAGAUUCCAAAUAACUCAGAUUCAACCAUUUCCUAACUCAGACAAACUUGAAUUGACAAUUUCUUAUGUCUUUCAUAACCAUGAAUACACCUAUUUUCAAAACAAACAAAUUGCCAGGGUGGAUAUCCUUUUUAACUUGCAGAUACACACUUCUUUUCAGAACUUCCUUAUCUAAUUCAACCAAAUUAACCUUAGAUAUUCCAUGACCUUAUCAUAGAAGUAUCUAUCACAGAACAAUCAGAAACUACCAAAAGGAUGGAUAAGCAUACCUUGCUAAACAGAUUUAGUAGAGUGCGUCAUAAGGGCCAAACAGAAUACGCCAUAAAGGCAUCAUACAGAUUCAUGUGUUUAUUAUCCCAGCGGACUUUCAUAGAAGGUGUCAUGGGUGUCUCCUUCAUUGACUUAUACAUAAGUUCAUGUAUCGUGAUAUACCCAUUCAAUUUACACAUCAUCGAAGGUUACACCAUGAACAUUCAUACAGAUAUAUCUUGCCAUGGGUCUUAACCACAUGGCUUUGCACACAUUCAUGUAUCGUGAUCUAUCAAUCUAGUCUUCAUUUUACUGGAGGCUACACCAUAAGUGUUUCCAAAUCAUAUCACGAUAUCAUGGGUAUCAACCUCAUGGUCUUACACUUGCUUUCAUAUCGUGAUCUACCAACUGGUUAGCAAUCUAACUGUCCUACCAGACACUUCAGAAAGGGACAUUUCCCAUAAUUUAAUUACCUAGAUUUAUUUGCAUUCUAGAUUGUCUCAUACAUUUCAUAUCUUAAAUUUUACUUGCAUACUUAUCAAUCAACAUUCACCUUCAAUAAAACUUAUUAUAUAUCAUCAUAGCACUUAUUUCCUCUUAACUAUACUCGUACACUUACCUCUUAUUAUAAAUGCCAUCAUCUUAUAUACAUAUAUAUAUACAUUUUCUUAUACUUGAAAAGUUUAUAUAAGAAAGGGUGAUACCAUCUUAAAUUUGCACGAUUUUUUGUCUUUAAAUCGAUUAAUUAUUGAAUUAAUCCCUGCUAAAUUAGUGAUUUUAUAUUUUAAUUCUGUCAGGAAUGCAAUUGGGAUGCUAUGAGUCAAAAACAAGCAGAAAAUGACCAAUUUGCAGCACAGUCAAUAAAGUGAGGCCAAAUCAGGAACUUGGAAAUAAUCAAGGACUUAUCAAAUUUCUUUUGACCUUCUAAAAGCUAAAAUUAGAAGAAAAUCUUAUUUUAUUUUUAUUUAAUUCUAAUUUUUUGUAGUGGGUAGUUAGGCCAAAUUUAGUAAAUUAUUUGUAUAUAAAUAGGGCAUUUGUGGUAGCUUGAAAACACACUUGAAUUUACUUAAACAAUUAAAUUAAAUUAUUUUUCCCUUCCAAUUUUAUACGUGUAGCAUACUGCCAUUUCAUUUCCAUUUGCUUGUUUCUUUAGUUUAAUUGCUUUCCAAAUCCCUUCCUUUUCUAACUUUCACCAAUUUUCAUUCAAAUCCACUCCAUAUCUAAUCAAAGCGUGAUUAAUUUCAUGCUUCAUUAAAUUCUAACUUAGCUUUAGGCCGGUAUUCUUUCCGUUCAAAAAUUGUGAGAUACGUAUUUGUACUAAAAAUCCUUCCAAUCGGUAUUCACUAUUUCUUCUAAAUAUCAGGAUUGAGAAAUUCAUCCCUUAAAGUUAAUUCGAUUUCUAAUCAAAAAGUGCGUUGGGUUGGAGUCGUAUUUACAAACAGUUGGAGAAACAAGUCGUCCGUGCUGUAUUUAGAUCUCCGAGAACAAAUCAAAUGAGAUAGUGAUCAGGUUUAAAUGUCUCGCGUGGUUGAGGCCAUUAAUCCAAGUUGGGUUCUUUAGAGCGCAAGGUUACCGGAAUCUUGAAUGGGGAACGCGUAUAUCUCGGUUAGAUAAUCGGUAAAGGUUGGUUUGCAGGUUGUACCGGGACCAACUACGAGAGGAAAAAUUGGUGGUUAAAACAUUUUUAGUCGCUAUAACCAGCUUAUUGUUUAGGGAAGAAGACUAAUUUUCGAGGAUCGGUUCAAAGAUCGGAAUUCACCAAGUUUAAGGCUAAGGCUUACUUUUUCUGUUGUCAAAACUCAAAUUCAUUUUCUAAUUUAAUUUUACUUUUGAUCUCUUUAAUUGCUUACUUCUAUUAUCUUAAUUAUUUAAUUUCUAGACAUUUCCAACUCUCUAAUUUAUUUUUAAAAAAAGAUCGUUUGAAUUGAGUAACCGGGUUAAGGUGUUUGGGUUGUCAUCCUAGUUCGCGUAAAAAGGUUUGACUACUUCCAAAAUAAAAUAAAAAUAUUAUUAUUGCAUGAUUAAUUGAAAAUAAUACCUUGCAAAUUUUGGUUCAAACUCAAUUUAGUGAAAUGAUUUA